UUAUAUGUGUGCAUUGCUUGCACAGGCUGUGCUCAGGGAAGUGUGUUUAUAUGUGUGCAUUGCUUGCAUAGGCUGUGCUCAGGUGUGUGUGUGUUUAUAUGUGUGCAUUGCUUGCACAGGCUGUGCUCAGGGAAGUGUGUUUAUAUGUGUGCAUUAUUUGCACCAGCUGGGCUCAGGCAUGUUUGUGUUUAUAUGUGUGCAUUAUUUGCACCAGCUGGGCUCAGGCAUGUGUGUGUUUAUAUGUGUGCAUUAUUUGCACAGUCUGUGCUCAUGUGUGUAUAUGCAUUUAUAAGUGUGCAUUGCUUGCACAGGCUUGCUGAGGCAUGUGUGCAUUUAUAUGUGUGCAUUGCUUGAACAGGCUGUGUUCAGGUGUGUGUGUGCAUUUAUAUGUGUGCAUUGUUUGCACAGGCUGUGCUCAGGCUUGUGUGUGUUUUUAUGUGUGCAUUGCUUGCACAGGCUAUGCUCAGGCAAUUGUGUUUAUAUGUGUGCAUUGCUUGCACAGGCUGUGCUCAGGCAGUGUGUGUGUGUUUAUAUAUGUGCAUUGUUUGCACAGGCAUGUGUGCUUAUAUGUGUGCAUUGCUUGCACAGGCUGUGCUCAGGUGUGUGUGUGUUUAUAUGUGUACAUUGCUUGCAUAAGCUGUGCUCAGGAGUGUGUGUUUAUAUGUGUGCAUUAUUUGCACAGGCUGUGCUCAUGCAUGUGUGUGUUUAUAUGCGUGUAUUGUUUGCACAGGCUGUGCUCAGGCGUGUGUGCAUUUAUAUGUGUGCAUUGCUUGCACAGGCUGUGCUCAGGCAGUGUGUGUGUGUUUAUAUGUGUGCAUUGCUUGCACAGGCUGUGCUCAGGCAUGUGUGUGUUUAUAUGUGUGCAUUGCUUGCACAGGCUGUGCUCAGGCAGUGUGUGUGUGUUUAUAUAUGUGCAUUGUUUGCAAAGGUGUGUGUGCUUAUAUGCGUGCAUUGCUUGCACAGGCUGUGCUCAGGCAAGUGUGUGCUUAUAUGUGUGCAUUGCUUGCACAGGCUGUGCUGAGGCAUGUGUGCGUUUAUAUGUGCGAAUUGUUUGCACAGGCUUUUCUACAGGGAAGUGGCUGAUGGCGGGAAUAGGAAUCCAGUCAGGAAGCUGUAUGUAUU
Molecule: long non-coding RNA, 1122 nt
Filed under: Urocitellus parryii (Arctic ground squirrel)
Lineage: Eukaryota; Metazoa; Chordata; Mammalia; Rodentia; Sciuridae
Description: lncRNA (ENSUPAG00010009168.1)
Source: RNAcentral